RNAcentral lists this ribosomal RNA (508 nucleotides) under uncultured bacterium. RNAcentral describes it as "partial 16S ribosomal RNA". It matches the Rfam family "Bacterial small subunit ribosomal RNA", at positions 28 to 507 of the family's 1533-position model. The record is from RNAcentral.
GACGAACGCUGGCGGCGUGCCUAAUACAUGCAAGUCGAACGCUUCUUUCCUCCCGAGUGCUUGCACUCAAUUGGAAAGAGGAGUGGCGGACGGGUGAGUAACACGUGGGUAACCUACCCAUCAGAGGGGGAUAACACUUGGAAACAGGUGCUAAUACCGCAUAACAGUUUAUGCCGCAUGGCAUAAGAGUGAAAGGCGCUUUCGGGUGUCGUUGAUGGAUGGACCCGCGGUGCAUUAGCUAGUUGGUGAGGUAACGGCUCACCAAGGCCACGAUGCAUAGCCGACCUGAGAGGGUGAUCGGCCACACUGGGACUGAGACACGGCCCAGACUCCUACGGGAGGCAGCAGUAGGGAAUCUUCGGCAAUGGACGAAAGUCUGACCGAGCAACGCCGCGUGAGUGAAGAAGGUUUUCGGACCGUAAAACUCUGUUGUUAGAGAAGAACAAGGACGUUAGUAACUGAACGUCCCCUGACGGUAUCUAACCAGAAAGCCACGGCUAACUACGUG